This 128-nucleotide ribosomal RNA is filed under the name Escherichia coli. RNAcentral describes it as "partial 16S ribosomal RNA". It matches the Rfam family "Bacterial small subunit ribosomal RNA", at positions 1 to 121 of the family's 1533-position model. Lineage: Bacteria; Pseudomonadati; Pseudomonadota; Gammaproteobacteria; Enterobacterales; Enterobacteriaceae. The record is from RNAcentral. RNAcentral also lists the same sequence under 27 other names.
AAAUUGAAGAGUUUGAUCAUGGCUCAGAUUGAACGCUGGCGGCAGGCCUAACACAUGCAAGUCGAACGGUAACAGGAAGCAGCUUGCUGCUUCGCUGACGAGUGGCGGACGGGUGAGUAAUGUCUGGG